Suricata suricatta (meerkat) is the source of this 1064-nucleotide long non-coding RNA. RefSeq lists it as uncharacterized. The transcript has 4 exons. NCBI's taxonomy places the organism in Eukaryota, Metazoa, Chordata, Mammalia, Carnivora, Herpestidae. The record is from RefSeq and is a predicted model, not a curated record.
AAAGGUUUUGCCUUUGCUAAGUUACUUAAAAGAUAUCUAAGUACUUUAUAUUUAAGUACUUUUACCUCAAAAGGCAAUUAGAGGCCUUGUGGGCCCCUCUUAGGUCUAUGUCUGAAAAUUCACACUUGCUCCUCAUUUAUUUGCCAAGACUUUGGUCCUUGCUAUUUUCAGUGGAUUCUAUCUUCAAAAGUUCCAGCUUUAGGUCUACACUGGGGUAAGGAAAGACAUGGAACUGGAAGAGUUCCUACACCAACUGGUAAAAGUUGUCAGCCGGUGAUGGGGAGCAGGCAGAGCCAAGCAUGAGAAGACUCUGAAAUUUCCAACACAGCCUGAUGUCACAUGACUUUGAAAAUAGACUUUGGUACCAAUAAAAUUAACCUGAUCAAGUUGUGUCAACUGGAAUUCCAAGAUGUGCAGAGUCCAAUUAACAUCCCUAUCCCCGCCAUGGGACCACUCUGGCGUGUCCCGGAGAGGUUUGCCGGUUCCUCAUGUGACAUCAGUAAUUUCACUGGCUAUACUUAGGCAUCAAGUCAUGGAGCUAAACCAAGUUCAGAAGUCAUGCUGCUCUCUUUGUUUUCUGUUUUCCCUGCUCUUUACUAUCCUCCCCUCCCCUUACUCCUCAGGGCCCUAGGCUUUAGAGCCUUGUGCAAAUCAAUUCAGAUAAAUGAAUUGUUGUUAUUUGAAUCUGUUUGUAUAGGAGAUUGGAACUAAAGAGAAAAUGAGAUGUUAGGUUAGUGAUGGUUUCCGUACAGCUGUUUGUUGCUUACCAGCUAGCAUACACAAUGGACAUCUGACUAAGACGAUCAGAUGGGACACUUAGAAUAGCUCAAGGAAAAUGAUUAAUGUGAUACACGGGAGAAUUGCAAGGGAAAACUUUAGCAUUUAGAGUUAGGAAACCUGUGAUCUAGGUACAACGCUGCUACUAACUAGUUGUGGGAUCCAGGGAAAUACCACUUGCUUUUCUGGGCACACGUUUCUUCUUUCUAUUAAAUGUAGGAAAACAGAAUCUCUCAGUACUUCCAGCUUUCAUUCUAGGUGAAUAAAUUUCUAUUUUGAUCCUUUGA